AAUUCCCUACGGGGCGCAGCAGUAGGGAAAAUUGGUCAAUGGGGGAAACCCUGAAGCAGCAACGCCGCGUGGAGGAUGAAGGUUUUCGGAUUGUAAACUCUUUUUGUUAGAGAAGAUAAUGACGGUAUCUAAGGAAUAAGCACCGGCUAACUCCGUGCCAGCAGCCGCGGUAAUACGGAGGGUGCAAGCGUUACUCGGAAUUAUUGGGCGUAAAGAGCGCGUAGGCGGGAUAGCAAGUAAGAUGUGAAAUCCUUUGGCUUAA
RNAcentral lists this ribosomal RNA (262 nucleotides) under uncultured bacterium. RNAcentral's name for it is "partial 16S ribosomal RNA". It matches the Rfam family "Bacterial small subunit ribosomal RNA", at positions 333 to 612 of the family's 1533-position model. The record is from RNAcentral.